AACGAACGCUGGCGGCAUGCCUAACACAUGCAAGUCGAACGAGACCUUCGGGUCUAGUGGCGCACGGGUGCGUAACGCGUGGGAACCUGCCCUUAGGUUCGGAAUAACUCCCCGAAAGGGGUGCUAAUACCGGAUAAUGUCUUCGGACCAAAGAUUUAUCGCCUUUGGAUGGGCCCGCGUUGGAUUGGCUAGUUGGUAGGGUAAAAGCCUACCAAGGCGACGAUCCAUAGCUGGUCUGAGAGGAUGAUCAGCCACACUGGGACUGAGACACGGCCCAGACUCCUACGGGAGGCAGCAGAAGGGAAUAUUAGACAAUGAGCGAAAGCGUGAUCCAGCAAUGCCGCGUGAGUGAUGAAGGCCUUAGGGUUGUAAAGCUCUUUUACCCGGGAUGAUAAUGACAGUACCGGGAGAAUAAGCUCCGGCUAACUCCGUG
RNAcentral lists this ribosomal RNA (433 nucleotides) under uncultured bacterium. RNAcentral describes it as "partial 16S ribosomal RNA". It matches the Rfam family "Bacterial small subunit ribosomal RNA", at positions 29 to 507 of the family's 1533-position model. The record is from RNAcentral.